RNAcentral lists this ribosomal RNA (115 nucleotides) under Kocuria soli. RNAcentral's name for it is "Kocuria sp. M5W7-7 partial 16S ribosomal RNA". It matches the Rfam family "Bacterial small subunit ribosomal RNA", at positions 1428 to 1533 of the family's 1533-position model. The record is from RNAcentral. Lineage: Bacteria; Bacillati; Actinomycetota; Actinomycetes; Micrococcales; Micrococcaceae.
CGGUGGCCUAACCCUUGUGGGGGGAGCCGUCGAAGGUGGGACGAGCGAUUGGGACUAAGUCGUAACAAGGUAGCCGUACCGGAAGGUGCGGCUGGAUCACCUCCUUUCUAAGGAG